GGGGUCCGCGCUUUAAGCCGCGGCUCGCGCCCGUCUCUGGAGCUCCUUUAAGCAGCGCUCUCAAUCCCCUCUCCUCGCGCACCAGGAAACAAAGAGGUGCAUCUCAGCAGAGGAACAUGCGGCUCUUAUCUGGUGGCGGGUUUAUCUCACUCAGCAUAACAUCCUCCAGGUCCAGACUUCUCCCUGGACUCCCUCCCGGCCAGCUGUGGCGCACUAACCCCCUGCAG
Globicephala melas (long-finned pilot whale) is the source of this 227-nucleotide long non-coding RNA. RefSeq lists it as uncharacterized. NCBI's taxonomy places the organism in Eukaryota, Metazoa, Chordata, Mammalia, Artiodactyla, Delphinidae. The record is from RefSeq and is a predicted model, not a curated record.